UACGUAGGUGCAGCGUAAGUCGAAUACACGUGGGCGGUAAAGCGCUCGUAGGUGGCUUUGUAAGUCAGGUGUGAAAGCCCACGGCUCAACCGUGGAAUUGCACUUGAUACUGCAUUGCUUGAGUUCGGGAGAGGGUAGUGGAAUUCCAGGUGUAGGAGUGAAAUCCGUAGAGAUCUGGAGGAACACCAGUGGCGAAGGCGACUACCUGGACCGAUACUGACACUGAGGAGCGAAAGCGUGGGGAGCAAAACAGGAUUAGAUACCCCGGUAGU
This 272-nucleotide ribosomal RNA is filed under the name uncultured bacterium. RNAcentral describes it as "partial 16S ribosomal RNA". It matches the Rfam family "Bacterial small subunit ribosomal RNA", at positions 524 to 794 of the family's 1533-position model. The record is from RNAcentral.